GGUUUGUGGCUCAAUGGUAGAGCACUCGUCUAGCACGUGCAAGGCGCUGGGUUUGAUCCUCAGCACCA
RNAcentral lists this transfer RNA (68 nucleotides) under Marmota monax (woodchuck). RNAcentral's name for it is "tRNA.Ala". The record is from RNAcentral. Lineage: Eukaryota; Metazoa; Chordata; Mammalia; Rodentia; Sciuridae.